This 223-nucleotide long non-coding RNA is filed under the name Gallus gallus (chicken). Lineage: Eukaryota; Metazoa; Chordata; Aves; Galliformes; Phasianidae. The record is from RNAcentral.
GUGCACCAAGGAAUCUUGUAACAUCCCAGCCUGUAAACACAGGUCACCAACGUGCUUCCGCAUCCGGCCUUGACAGCGUUUCUUAUAGUGCCUACUGUCUGUGUCCAGCCCUACAAAAUCCUUCUUCUCAAAAGGAACGCAGAGCAGCGGGAUCUUGUCUCCAGACUUAUCAGUGGCUCUAUCAAGCCGCUUAGACUCCAACACAAUGAAAAGGGAUUCAAUG